Molecule: ribosomal RNA, 234 nt
Filed under: Triticum aestivum (bread wheat)
Lineage: Eukaryota; Viridiplantae; Streptophyta; Magnoliopsida; Poales; Poaceae
Description: partial small subunit ribosomal RNA
Source: RNAcentral
AUGCGGGUAAUUGCAUACGACAUUCCGGUUGACUAUGCCGAUGAGUACCUUCGCAUUGGUGAAGAUAGUACAAUUAAGUCAGUGCGUAGGUUUUCCAAAGUGAUCAUCCGUGUCUUUGGUCCUGAAUAUCUUCAGGCACCCAACGAGGAAGACACAAAAAAGUUGAUGACAUCAAGUGAGAGAAGAGGUUGGCCUGGCAUGUUAGGAAGCAUUGAUUGUAUGCAUUGGACUUGA